This 770-nucleotide long non-coding RNA is filed under the name Mus musculus (house mouse). Its description in RNAcentral is "predicted gene 15527". The record is from RNAcentral. Lineage: Eukaryota; Metazoa; Chordata; Mammalia; Rodentia; Muridae.
GAGAGUCGCGGGCAGGCAGCAGGCAUCCCUGCUUGGGUCUUUUAGGAUGAGCAGGAUGAUAUUGUCUCACAUUUGCUGAGUCUAGAAGGCAGGUCUCUCCAGUGGUUUUUGGAGCAAAUGUUUUGAUGGGCCAGCGUGGACACUGCCCAAACAUACAAGCAACUUGCCUAGUCUCCAGCUGGAAGCAAAUGCUACUCAUGAUGUGCUGUGGCACUAUGGUGGGCACAGGAAACUAAGGAUAACUAACAUUCAGGCCUUCACUUCAAGGAGCCAAUAUUUGCAAGAGUGAAGAGAAAUGGCCUUGAACCGUGUAGUCAUGUAACAAUUCCUGCUCCGGGACUCGGAAGAGGUGAACUUGGGUACAAUAUACCCUCAUGCCUUCUGGGUCCAGAGACCAGAUCUGAAGCAGAAACCCACUGGGUACACACUGGAAGCUGGCUGUGUGUAAAAGCUCCCAGAGAGACUCCAGUGAGGGAUCAUGCAGUUGCUGAAACAUUAUUGUUAUAAAUGAUACAGCAUGGAGCUAAAUAAAUGAGCUUUUGAAACACUGGAGCGAGCAGUAUUCCACACAUGUGUAUAUCCACACUUGCUUAUCCACUCAUCUGUGGGUGGAUAUUUAAGUUGCUUCCUCCUCUGGGCUAUUGUGAACAUGAACACUGUGAACAUCUGUGUGGGGUGAUGGCCUCAGCACCUGUUUUUAAUUCUUCAGGGGAAUGGCACCACCCACUGUUCUGGGUCUUCCUGAAUCAAUCGACAAUCAAAACAACCCC